GGGUCAGUAGGUUGGUCGUGCCACCGGUACGUACUGGUCUCACUGAUUCCUCCUUCCUGAAGAACCGUAAUGCCAUUAAUUUGGUGGUGCGGGGAAACAGGACUGUUACUUUGAAAAAAUUAGAGUGUUUAAAGCAAGCUAACGCUUGAAUACAUUAGCAUGGAAUAAUGAAAUAGGACGAUCGAUCCUAUUUUGUUGGCUUCUAGAAUUGACGUA
RNAcentral lists this ribosomal RNA (216 nucleotides) under Glomeromycotina sp. Its description in RNAcentral is "partial small subunit ribosomal RNA". The stretch from base 40 to 216 matches the Rfam family "Eukaryotic small subunit ribosomal RNA", at positions 686 to 864 of the family's 1831-position model. The record is from RNAcentral. Lineage: Eukaryota; Fungi; Glomeromycota.